UGGGGAAUAUUGCACAAUGGAGGGAACUCUGAUGCAGCGACGCCGCGUGAGUGAUGAAGGAAUUCGUUUCGUAAAACUCUGUUCUAUGGGAAGAAAAGGACUGUACCAUAGGAGAAAGCUCCGGCUAAAUACGUGCCAGCAGCCGCGGUAAUACGUAUGGAGCGAGCGUUGUACGGAAUUAUUGGGCGUAAAGGGUGCGCAGGCGGCUUUACAAGUUGGAUGUGAAAUAUUGUGGCUCAACCACAAACGUGCAUCCAAAACUGCAAAGCUUGAGUUAAGGAGAGGGAAGUGGAAUACCUGGUGUAGCGGUGGAAUGCAUAGAUAUCAGGAGGAAUACCGGUGGCAAAGGCGACUUACUGGACUUAAACUGACGCUCAGGCACGAAAGCGUGGGGAGCAAACAGG
Molecule: ribosomal RNA, 404 nt
Filed under: Fusobacteriota bacterium
Lineage: Bacteria; Fusobacteriati; Fusobacteriota
Description: Fusobacteria bacterium partial 16S ribosomal RNA
Rfam family: Bacterial small subunit ribosomal RNA
Source: RNAcentral